UGGGGAAUAUUGGACAAUGGGCGAAAGCCUGAUCCAGCAAUGCCGCGUGUGUGAAGAAGGCCUUCGGGUUGUAAAGCACUUUCGUUCUUGAAGAAGCGAAGUGGGCUAAUACCCUGCUUUGUUGACGUUAGAGAAAGAAGAAGCACCGGCUAACUCUGUGCCAGCAGCCGCGGUAAUACAGAGGGUGCGAGCGUUAAUCGGAAUUACUGGGCGUAAAGGGUGCGUAGGUGGUUAGAUAAGUAACAUGUUAAAGUCCCGGGCUUAACCUGGGGAGGCCAUGUUAGACUGUUUAGCUAGAGUGUUGUAGAGGAAAGUGGAAUUUCCGGUGUAGCGGUGAAAUGCGUAGAUAUCGGAAGGAACACCAGUGGCGAAGGCGACUUUCUGGACAAAUACUGACACU
Molecule: ribosomal RNA, 400 nt
Filed under: uncultured bacterium
Lineage: Bacteria
Description: bacterial SSU rRNA
Rfam family: Bacterial small subunit ribosomal RNA
Source: RNAcentral